UCGAAAGACAUUCAUUCAAGAAAUUCUAACGUGAUUAUCGUAAAUAGCUGGAAUUGUAGAUAUUUACAAUGACAUAGAUCAUUUUUCUUCGACGAAAUUACGGCCUAAUGUCAAGACAAGAAUAAUAUGACGCUGAUCUGUGUUUUGACAAGAAUAUGAAUGAUCUUAAGAAAAGGCUUCACUGAAUCAAUUGAAAGACAGCGUCUUCAAUUGUCCUACUAAAUUCUUUACAGAUGACAUCUGGGUCUGGGGAGAUCAUGCAAAAAAAUAAGACAUCAUUUAUAACUUUCAACCUUCCGCUCACAGGACAAAUUCUCGAAGACGCUACGGAAAGAUGCUGAGCUUGAUCAUAAUUCUUCAGGCUCCCAAUUCAAGAAUACAAUUACUUAGCGUGGGUGCUUCUGCUCAGUCUUCGUUUCCUAUCUCCACAUACCAAUCACUCGUUUGUUACUAAUUCGAAUAAUUUACUGCUGUAAGGAGUCGUACCGCCAACUAAAUCUGAAUAACAAUUUGGCUGCUAGAAGUUAAAAAGUAGGCGCUGCAAUGAUUAUGUGGUAUGAUCAGAUUGUGUCGCAACGCUCAGCGGGGUUUUGGCUCAAUGGGACCGCUGCUAAUAAAACGUUUAACUAGCGAAUUUUGGAACACACCCGUUGACAAAAGUAUAAGGAGUCUCUUUCCGUGAGUUCCCCUCUUCCUCUCACUGCACUUCAACUAUGCUUUAUAGCAACCAAGAAGCUAGAAAAUGCCAACUAUUAAAAAGAUAACCUCUUUGGAAGCAAAUAAAACGGAGAUUAUCUUGGGAUCUAUUUCACAAAUUUACGGCUAAUUGGAAUGAACAGCGCCAAGUAGCACUGGUCAAACUGCAGAGAGUAUUAGAACUUGCUUUAUUCCGUAUAUCGUACUUUAGGUCGUCAGUUUUACCACUUCGGUACGCAAAUGAAAAUAAAAAGCUCAUUCACAACUUAGACACAAUUUCGCCGUUUACAAGUAGCUGAAAAGUCCAUCUAUCGAAUUAUGAAUGAUACUAUUUUAAAUAUAGUCGUUGCUGCACUCGUUUUCCAUGUUCUUUUUAUCCACACAUACGAUGUUUUACUUACAGUUGAGCAUCUCAGGGCCAGCGACAAAUAUAAACAUAUUAUACUCAAAAUGAAGCUCGUUGAAAAGAGAAUAUUUCUUAACCUCUUUUACAGUGUUUUCAACACCUUUUCAUCUGUGUGCCAUGUCAGAUUAAGGAUGCUCAACUUUUCGAAUUAUUAUUACAAAUUUCAAAGAAAUUACUAGUCCUUUUUGUCCCCUAAUGUAUCCCUCAUUUCAUACCGUCGUUUUGGGGUUCCAACUACGUAUAGCUUUCAAGUGUGGUUUUACGGUAAGAACAACCCCCCAUCGGUUGGUGCGGAAUACUUUCCUAUUCUCAUCGAGAGCCGAGCCAUACACCUAAGGUGGACAGAAAGCUAAAAUUCCAAAACAGAAAAAUCUAACAUCUUUGCUCCCUUACAAGUAGGAACGCUAGCGUAUCAACCCAUCUCCAGAUUUGCCCAGCAUUUCUGUAGAACACCCAAUGCGAAUGAAGACUAAUGAAUAUUGUAAAGACAAAAAAUAGGAAAAGUUUAAUUGGUGAUGGUUCUCACCACCCCAAAACGGUCACUUGCAUGCAUUGAGGACAUGCACCUGCAGUACUUGUUUUUCUCGAAUGUUUUUUACCAUCUCUUUUUUCCUUAUCUGAGCUGCUGACGCAGACGGACAUUGUUUCAUAUUUCGAAAGCUGUGCGGGAAAACGGACCCUAACACGAAUGUGAAUGCGCUAAUCGGUAUUUCCACCACAUGAAACCUGCUACUUUUUCAGUCCUCUUCGUAUGCAUUUCCCAAAAUUCAUUCGUAGCCUUGUCAACUUAGACUCAGUUCCACGGCGUGCAGGACGGGGUAUUAUGAAUAAAAGGAUCCACGGGUGAGAUUUGUUCUAUGUUUUAGGUAUGGAGUUUUGUACCACAAAACUUUAGGAAUACCGGAUUGUGUGCCUACGCCAGCCCCAGAGUAUGUUCUCACAGCUGUAAUUCCUAGUGAUCUUUUCCUGGCUCCAAUAGGAACGCCGGCAGGCAAAUUAAACUUUCGCGGCAGGAAAAAAAAGGCUUUUUCUUUUUUGCCUUUCAGUUUCUCGGAAUGUGGCAUUACAUAAGCAAAAUCCUUUUUGGGUGUGCCUGGAAAGUUCAAAUUAAGGUUUUUUUCUUCUGUUUUCUUGACAAGAAAAUGUCGCCCAAAGAGUUUCGGCCGUUAUUUUCCUAUCGAAGUGGGUCCUUUUUGUCUUUAGUCCUUCUCUGGGGCUAGCGAUCACUGCAAAAUUAGGCUUUACUGGUACGAGUUAACUUUUUUUCUUUUUUUUUGUCAUCCUUUUCUUUGGGGCUAAGAAUGGACUUCCCUUUUCUUUUUCUUUGUUGCAGCAGUGGCUUCAAAGAACUGCUGAUUGCUCAAGGCAAUCAGUCCGAGCGUUUAGAAGGUGAUUGUAGACAGAAAUUAACUUUGCGGUAAAAGAAUGACAUUCUUUCUUAAAAGAAAAAUUAGCUUUUUUUUGUCAGGCAUUGCACAAACUUUUUUAUUUCUGCCUAUACUCUUAAACAGAUCAGUCAUUCAUGUUGUCUUUUUAACGAUCGUACUGGGACAUCGCAUGCCUUGGGAUUCCGUAAUUAGGUGCAACAAUACGGGCACAACUCAUUCUGCGCUAUCUUCACGGACAGAACUUCUAUUGCCUAUCGGUGGUGUGAUUAACAAUUGGAAGCGCAGAGCUUGGAAUGGAUUUUCAAUUCAAUGGAUUUGGAGGUAUUCGUUUGUUUACUAAUAUUUACUUUGAGGACAUUGCCCAACCCUAAAAGUGCCUGUUCCAGAAUAGAAUAACAUUAUGAUACGUUUUCUUGACCGCUGAGCAAUUUAAAGCAACUAUUAGGGUACGAUUGUUUCUAGAGAAAUGUGGGUCAUCUUUUUAGGUCCGUUCUCUUCUGAUGAGGUAACCUUUACAAAAAUGUCAUAGAGUUACCAAUUGGGAUUCAAGGCAUCAUCGCAAUAUACUUCGUUCUUUUACGGAGAAAUUAAGCUCUUUCCACUUUGAAUUAACUGUUAGACUUGUCUUAUCUGAGGAAUGUCCGUGUUCAAAUUAAAUAAAAAUUUAGGGCAGUUUUAUUUACCUUAACAAAUAUGUUCAAGCAUGUAGGU
This 3201-nucleotide small RNA is filed under the name Saccharomyces cerevisiae YJM1419. Its description in RNAcentral is "ICR1". The record is from RNAcentral. Lineage: Eukaryota; Fungi; Ascomycota; Saccharomycetes; Saccharomycetales; Saccharomycetaceae.